CAUAUCAAUAAGCGGAGGAAAAGAAACUAACAAGGAUUCCCCUAGUAACUGCGAGUGAAGCGGGAAAAGCUCAAAUUUAAAAUCUGGUGGUCUUUGGCCAUCCGAGUUGUAAUCUAGAGAAGUGUUAUCCGCGCUGGACCGUGUACAAGUCUCCUGGAAUGGAGCGUCAUAGAGGGUGAGAAUCCCGUCUUUGACACGGACUGCCAGGGCUUUGUGAUGCGCUCUCAAAGAGUCGAGUUGUUUGGGAAUGCAGCUCAAAAUGGGUGGUAAAUUCCAUCUAAAGCUAAAUAUUGGCGAGAGACCGAUAGCGAACAAGUACCGUGAGGGAAAGAUGAAAAGAACUUUGGAAAGAGAGUUAAACAGUACGUGAAAUUGCUGAAAGGGAAACGCUUGAAGUCAGUCGCGUUGUCUGGGGAUCAACCUUGCUUUUGCUGGGCGUACUUUCCAGAUGACGGGUCAGCAUCAAUUUUGACCGUUGGAUAAAGUCUAGAGGAAUGUGGCAUCUUCGGAUGUGUUAUAGCCUCUGGUCGCAUACAACGGUUGGGAUUGAGGAACUCAGCACGCCGCAAGGCCGGGUACUUGUACCACGUUCGUGCUUAGGAUGCUGGCAUAAUGGCUUUAAUCGACCCGUCUUGAAACACGGACCAAGGAGUCUAACAUGCCUGCGAGUAUUUGGGUGGAAAACCCGAGUGCGUAAUGAAAGUGAAAGUUGAGAUCCCUGUCAUGGGGAGCAUCGACGCCCGGACCAGACCUUUUGUGACGGAUCUGCGGUAGAGCAUGUAUGUUGGGACCCGAAAGAUGGUGAACUAUGCCUGAAUAGGGUGAAGCCAGAGGAAACUCUGGUGGAGGCUCGUAGCGAUUCUGACGUGCAAAUCGAUCGUCAAAUUUGGGUAUAGGGGCGAAAGACUAAUCGA
This 914-nucleotide ribosomal RNA is filed under the name Pholiota jahnii. RNAcentral's name for it is "partial large subunit ribosomal RNA". It matches the Rfam family "Eukaryotic large subunit ribosomal RNA", at positions 39 to 938 of the family's 3401-position model. The record is from RNAcentral. Lineage: Eukaryota; Fungi; Basidiomycota; Agaricomycetes; Agaricales; Strophariaceae.